This 380-nucleotide ribosomal RNA is filed under the name uncultured eukaryote. Its description in RNAcentral is "partial 18S ribosomal RNA". It matches the Rfam family "Eukaryotic small subunit ribosomal RNA", at positions 592 to 976 of the family's 1831-position model. The record is from RNAcentral.
CAAUAGCGUAUAUUAAAGUUGUUGCAGUUAAAAAGCUCGUGGUUGGAUUUGUGGCGUACGGUGGGUUCCGGGCACUUGUUGUCUGAGUAACUUGCUGUUGCCAUCCUUGGGUGGAACCUGUGUGGCAUUAGGUUGUCGUGCAGGGGAUGCCCAUCAUUUACUGUGAAAAAAUUAGAGUGUUCAAAGCAGGCUUAUGCCGUUGAAUAUAUUAGCAUGGAAUAAUGAGAUAGGACUUUUUUGCUAUUUUGUUGGUUUGCGCAAAGAGGUAAUGAUUAAUAGGGACAGUUGGGGGUAUUCGUAUUCCAUUGUCAGAGGUGAAAUUCUUGGAUUUUUGGAAGACGAACUACUGCGAAAGCAUUUACCAAGGAUGUUUUCAUUAA